Molecule: long non-coding RNA, 2299 nt
Organism: Felis catus (domestic cat)
Lineage: Eukaryota; Metazoa; Chordata; Mammalia; Carnivora; Felidae
Exons: 4
Source: RefSeq, a predicted model, not a curated record
UGGCCCCUCUCCCACAACCACAAAGGGCCUGGCCAGGGCCCCACACACCUGGGAGCCAGCCUCCUCCACCCCUCCGUCACCGCAGCCUGGCUCUCAGCUCUCCGCGCCCAGACUCACUGUGCCUCUUCCAGAAAGGAAACUGAGGAGCCCUUUUGGUUCUUCAGACCUCGGAGAGAGCGAGGGCAUCAAUUAGGACUCCUGGAGGGCCCUGGGGUCCUGAAAUGAUGGGCCGGUGCCGUGGCUGCUGCUCUCUCGACCAACCACCACCUCCCCAGGCUGUGUCUCAGGGAGAGGGCAGAGGAAGGCGGUGGGAAAGGCGGGAGGAGGUGACACACCAGACGCUAGUUAGUCCUCAUCUGCCCCUCGCAGGUGGGGGCGUCGGCCCUUCAGCCCCAGACACCGUGCUUGACACCAGGUGUGCACGCUCGAGCAGAGGCACCCACACCCACGCAUGCGUGUGCCGCUCCUGUGACACCAUGGCUCCCUGCGAACCGGACUGCUGGAGCCCCUCUGCACCCACACCACGGCCCACGCAGAGUUGGUGGCAGCAGUGGAUUCUGGCGUGAACUUCCACCAGCAUUUGGGGAUCAGAAACACAGGUGUGGUACCCAUGGGAACCCCAUUUUGAUCCUUUCUUGCCAUUUCCGAGGGCCAUGGGUAAGUUCUUCUUGGUCCUGAGCUCUGCCCCCUGCAUUGAGGACCUGAUCUAACUGGCUUUCCAAUACACGGCUGGUCAGCUUGAGCUGGCAGACAGUUCCACCUGGAGCCAAGCCCCUAGCCUUUCAGACCAAACUCCCAGGUUUCUGAUGGAAGACCCUCAACCCUUAGUUCUGUCCAAAGAUCCGCAUAGGAACUGUUCACGUCAUGCACAGUUCUCCAUCCAUGCACAGCCCCCAGCCCACAGUUUGGAGCCGCUGGUUCAAGGUGACAUAACUCCUACUGCUUCCCUCUAUCCUCCUCUCAGUGCUCAGUCUAGUAAUCCUCCAUCCAAAUGGCCUUUCCACUCCAGAGACUAUUAAACGUUUAUUUAUCUUUUGAAAUAAUACCACCAACCACUACAGGUGAGUCUCUCAGGUAUCUUUCACUCCUCAGUCAAAGGCCAAUCUAAGGGCCAUGGUCAUGUUGUCCCUUCAUUUCCCAAUCUAAGCCACUGGUUAUUGAUCUUUGGGGGUGACUCUAGGUCUUAUGAAGAUGAUAUCUUCUGCACCCUCUUUAAGGAUGCCUCUCAGGUCCAUGGGGUUGUUUAAUACUGCCAGAAAUACUUGACAUUUUGUAACUGAGUCCAACCUGGUUAUGCUCAAUGAACAACAAGCCAGUUGGGGUAGGGAAAGCCAGCAAAACCAGGAGAUAGCAGACUACUGUCCCAAAGAACCAUUUCCCCUGGGCAUGAAUUUUGAGCUUCUUUUUAAGUUAGCAAAAGGAGGGAGAAGGAAGGUGCUGGAGUCCAAGGUGACUGGCAUCUGUAGACAUCCAAGGAAAGUCCUGUAAUUUCUUUGCACCUGUUCAUUUGAUCUUUGUGUGUAGGAAUCCGAUCAUGUCACUCCUGUAGAUAUUAAACAUUGCAUAGUCAUUUCUGUACUCACUUCCUUAUCUCCUUGAAUGAGGCUGAUUUCGGGGAAAACACUUUUUUGCAAAUCUCAGCUAUAAACAAAAUUUCUUUGAUGACUAACAUGCCUAUGUGCAGGGCUAAGCAGAAGUUUCCAAGCUCUGUGUCACAGCAGCAAGGGAAAUGGAAGCAACAUGGAGUCAGACAUGCUAAGUCUCUCCCUGUGACAGUUUGUCCCAGCUAAACACUGACAAGAUAUGUGAAGAAAUGUGGAAUACUAUUAUUUCAAAACAUGCUGUCCAUGGUCACCUCUUCCUUGGAGCCUUCCUUGAUCUGCAGCCUCAGCAGGCAAUUCUUUGUCCAGAUCACAAGACAGAUGCACACAUGGCCCCUGCUAACCUGUGACAUCCUCAGAGCCAAGUACAGAGACAGGAUCACCGUCCUUCCCCGAGCAUCUAGCACAGCACCGGCACACAGGCCUCGAGCUCUUAGAACCCCCCAAUAGAAUUGCCUGAGAAUCUUCUUAGAAGCGCAGGCCCCACCUCAGAGACUCUUGAUUCAGAAGGUUAGAUGUGGUGCCCAGGGAGCCGCAUGCUGAGUAACUGCUUCAGGCAAUUCUAAUGAUGUAGCCACUGAAAGGACUGCCAAGUCUGGUCUUAGGGGCCAUUAAGGACCUGCAUUUCCCCCACAGGCCCUCCUGAUUGUGGUCCCCAAGUCAAUAAACUCUGAGUAAAUGAGUAAACCCAUUUCUGA